CAAGUUGGUGAUGCCAUAACCCAUGAUUAACUAUUUACAUCUUUUCAUAGAAGGAAAAAAAGAGAAGAGCAUCAUUGAAGUUUGCACAAACAACUACAACAACUCCUUUACCAAACACAAAACAACAUGAACAAGACAGAAAAUCAACAACAACAACAACAAAACAUGGACAACGUUCCUCCUCCUGGGUAUCCAACUUUGAAUUCUCCUGAAGGAAAGAUGAAGAAGAAGAGUUGGUUCCGCACCAAGAAGAGGGGAGAGAAGGGUUUCAUUGAAGGAUGCUUGGCUGGAUUAUGUUGUUGUUGGAUAUGUGAAGAGUGUUGCUGCUAAAAAGAUCAUGGCUUGGCUUGGCUUGGUGAUCAAUAUAUGUCAUGUUCUUUAAAUGUUUUAUGUAGUAUCUGAAUUUUAUUUUUGGAAUAUGUGUAAUUGAUAUGAACAUACCAUGCUAUAUAUAUAUUUUUACAUAUA
Molecule: long non-coding RNA, 468 nt
Organism: Beta vulgaris subsp. vulgaris (sugar beet)
Lineage: Eukaryota; Viridiplantae; Streptophyta; Magnoliopsida; Caryophyllales; Amaranthaceae
Exons: 3
Source: RefSeq, a predicted model, not a curated record